RNAcentral lists this microRNA precursor (130 nucleotides) under Marmota monax (woodchuck). Lineage: Eukaryota; Metazoa; Chordata; Mammalia; Rodentia; Sciuridae. The record is from RNAcentral.
AUUUUUUAAGGGCUGGGGUGGUAGUAUGAUCUGGAAUCACAAAUUUUCUCUUAGUGAGACUGCCUGAAAUAAUUGAAAUGAAUUAAUUAAAUAGUUCUCAGAUCAUACUAUCACCACACUCCUUAAAACA